This 495-nucleotide ribosomal RNA is filed under the name uncultured bacterium. RNAcentral's name for it is "partial 16S ribosomal RNA". It matches the Rfam family "Bacterial small subunit ribosomal RNA", at positions 29 to 506 of the family's 1533-position model. The record is from RNAcentral.
AUGCACGCUGGCGGCGUGCCUAAUACAUGCAGGUCGAGCGAACGGACGAGAAGCUUGCUUCUCUGAUGUUAGCGGCGGACGGGUGAGUAACACGUGGAUAACCUACCUAUAAGACUGGGAUAACUUCGGGAAACCGGAGCUAAUACCGGAUAAUAUUUUGAACCGCAUGGUUCAAAAGUGAAAGACGGUCUUGCUGUCACUUAUAGAUGGAUCCGCGCUGCAUUAGCUAGUUGGUAAGGUAACGGCUUACCAAGGCAACGAUGCAUAGCCGACCUGAGAGGGUGAUCGGCCACACUGGAACUGAGACACGGUCCAGACUCCUACGGGAGGCAGCAGUAGGGAAUCUUCCGCAAUGGGCGAAAGCCUGACGGAGCAACGCCGCGUGAGUGAUGAAGGUCUUCGGAUCGUAAAACUCUGUUAUUAGGGAAGAACAUAUGUGUAAGUAACUGUGCACAUCUGGACUGUACCUAAGCAGAAAGCCACGGCUAACUACGG